Molecule: long non-coding RNA, 450 nt
Organism: Oreochromis niloticus (Nile tilapia)
Lineage: Eukaryota; Metazoa; Chordata; Actinopteri; Cichliformes; Cichlidae
Exons: 3
Source: RefSeq, a predicted model, not a curated record
AGAAAAAGAAAAGAGAGAUGUGGAUGAAAAACUUCAGUUUAGAGAGUCAGCAGUCAUCAGUGAGAAGAGAAGUUUUGAAGAACAAAGCAAAACAGUUAUCCUGUGGAGGGAGAGACUGAACGUCUCGAGCAUCGAACAUGUUUGUUCUCAUCUGGUCGGCUCUGUUUGUCUCUGUAAAAGGCAGCAUUGCUGACACAGGUGUCUCAGCCUGGGGACAACAACACUGUGAUAGAGGAUACUGUGUUACUCUGAGUGAGCGAGAACUAACAGCAGAAGCUGGACUCUGUGUUGUGAUCCCGUGUUCUUUCACUACUGCUGAUGAGUUUACACCCAAACAGACAAUUUGGUACAAAUGUGAAGCAUCUCAAAAAUUUUGCAGUGAUGCUGACAUAAUAUUUCACAGCAACAAAAACACAGACAAAAAAGCUCAGUCUGGGUUUGAAGGACGAG